UGUUUUCCCAUCAGUGCCUGAAGAUCCUCCUCAGUCCCUCCCUGGGCAUUGACGUUGCAAAAUAUGAGGCUUGGAGUUAUUUAUUAUCAGCACCUUUCUCUCCAGGAAGCCAACAGAUUUUCUUUCCUCCAGAUGGCUCUCACAGGCUAGCCAAAGAGCGGACUGAGCCGACCAUCUGCUUCCUGUUGUUAUUUCAAGCUGGCUAGUCAGUCAGCAAGGCUGGUGAAGCCCAGGGCUCCAGCUGUCGGUCCAGGCUGCUCCUAUUUGGCCUUGUACCUUGUUGUACUCAGCAGGAUAGGAGAGGGGCCAUGCUGAAAUCUGUGUUUGACACUCAUGAGGUGGGUUGGUUUGCUUCCAAACCCAUGCCAGCCAGCUUCCCUGACGGCAAACAUAAAAGAUGCUUAAGAAUGAUGUUCCCACUGAACCGAUUCUCCUCACUCAUUACAGG
This 448-nucleotide long non-coding RNA is filed under the name Heterocephalus glaber (naked mole-rat). RNAcentral describes it as "lncRNA (ENSHGLG00000033668.1)". Lineage: Eukaryota; Metazoa; Chordata; Mammalia; Rodentia; Bathyergidae. The record is from RNAcentral.